UGAACGCGAAGAACCUUACCAAGGCUUGACAUACACCGGAAAGCAUUAGAGAUAGUGCCCCCCUUGUGGUCGGUGUACAGGUGGUGCAUGGCUGUCGUCAGCUCGUGUCGUGAGAUGUUGGGUUAAGUCCCGCAACGAGCGCAACCCUUGUUCUGUGUUGCCAGCAUGCCCUUCGGGGUGAUGGGGACUCACAGGAGACCGCCGGGGUCAACUCGGAGGAAGGUGGGGACGACGUCAAGUCAUCAUGCCCCUUAUGUCUUGGGCUGCACACGUGCUACAAUGGCCGGUACAAUGAGCUGCGAUACCGCAAGGUGGAGCGAAUCUCAAAAAGCCGGUCUCAGUUCGGAUUGGGGUCUGCAACUCGACCCCAUGAAGGUCGGAGUCGCUAGUAAUCGCAGAUCAGCAUUGCUGCGGUGAAUACGUUCCCGGGUCUUGUACACACGCA
This 445-nucleotide ribosomal RNA is filed under the name bacterium CPTAC1B. RNAcentral describes it as "bacterial SSU rRNA". It matches the Rfam family "Bacterial small subunit ribosomal RNA", at positions 956 to 1394 of the family's 1533-position model. The record is from RNAcentral.